RNAcentral lists this ribosomal RNA (513 nucleotides) under uncultured bacterium. Its description in RNAcentral is "bacterial SSU rRNA". It matches the Rfam family "Bacterial small subunit ribosomal RNA", at positions 15 to 518 of the family's 1533-position model. The record is from RNAcentral.
GAUCUUGGUUCAGGAUGAACGCUAGCUACAGGCUUAACACAUGCAAGUCGAGGGGCAGCGAGAAGAAAGCUUGCUUCUUGUCGGCGACCGGCGCACGGGUGAGUAACGCGUAUCCAACCUUCCUGCCAGUAGGGAACAGCCCGGCGAAAGUCGGAUUAAUGCCCUAUGUUCUUCAAUGCGGACAUCUAAGUUGAAGGAAAGAUUCAUCGCUGGCAGAUGGGGAUGCGUCCGAUUAGCUUGCCGGCGGGGUAACGGCCCACCGGGGCGACGAUCGGUAGGGGUUCUGAGAGGAAGGUCCCCCACACUGGUACUGAGACACGGACCAGACUCCUACGGGAGGCAGCAGUGAGGAAUAUUGGUCAAUGGGCGUAAGCCUGAACCAGCCAAGUAGCGUGCAGGAAUGACGGCCCUACGGGUUGUAAACUGCUUUUAUGCGGGGAUAAAGUGCGGCACGUGUGCCGCUUUGCAGGUACCGCAUGAAUAAGGACCGGCUAAUUCCGUGCCAGCAGCGGC